CUGGGCCAUAACUGACGCUGAGAAGCGAAAGCAUGGGGAGCGAACAGGAUUAGAUACCCUGGUAGUCCAUGCCGUAAACGUUGGGCUCUAGGUGUGGGACUCAUUCCACGAGUUUCCGUNCCGUCAGCGUAACGUCAGUUAAGUCGUCCCCGUCCUGGGGAGUUACGGCCGUCAAGGUCUAAAACUCAAAGGUAAUUGACGGGGGCCCGCACAAGCGGCGGAGCAUGCGGAUUAAUUGAGC
RNAcentral lists this ribosomal RNA (241 nucleotides) under uncultured Actinomycetes bacterium. Its description in RNAcentral is "uncultured actinobacterium partial 16S rRNA". It matches the Rfam family "Bacterial small subunit ribosomal RNA", at positions 729 to 955 of the family's 1533-position model. The record is from RNAcentral. Lineage: Bacteria; Bacillati; Actinomycetota; Actinomycetes.